RNAcentral lists this ribosomal RNA (485 nucleotides) under uncultured bacterium. RNAcentral's name for it is "partial 16S ribosomal RNA". It matches the Rfam family "Bacterial small subunit ribosomal RNA", at positions 355 to 833 of the family's 1533-position model. The record is from RNAcentral.
UAGGGAAUCUUCCACAAUGGACGCAAGUCUGAUGGAGCAACGCCGCGUGAGUGAAGAAGGCUUUCGGGUCGUAAAACUCUGUUAUUGAAGAAGAACGUGUGUGACAGUAACUGGUCAUGCAGUGACGGUAUUCAAUCAGAAAGUCACGGCUAACUACGUGCCAGCAGCCGCGGUAAUACGUAGGUGGCAAGCGUUGUCCGGAUUUAUUGGGCGUAAAGCGAGUGCAGGCGGUCUUUUAAGUCUGAUGUGAAAGCCUUCGGCUUAACCGAAGAAGGGCAUCGGAAACUGGGAGACUUGAGUGCAGAAGAGGAGAGUGGAACUCCAUGUGUAGCGGUGAAAUGCGUAGAUAUAUGGAAGAACACCAGUGGCGAAGGCGGCUCUCUGGUCUGUAACUGACGCUGAGGCUCGAAAGCGUGGGUAGCAAACAGGAUUAGAUACCCUGGUAGUCCACGCCGUAACGAUGAAUACUAAGUGUUGGAGGGCUU